This 253-nucleotide ribosomal RNA is filed under the name uncultured bacterium. Its description in RNAcentral is "partial 16S ribosomal RNA". It matches the Rfam family "Bacterial small subunit ribosomal RNA", at positions 524 to 776 of the family's 1533-position model. The record is from RNAcentral.
UACGGAGGGGGCUAGCGUUGUUCGGAAUUACUGGGCGUAAAGCGCGCGUAGGCGGACCUGCAAGUCGGGGGUGAAAGCCCGAGGCUCAACCUCGGAACUGCCUUCGAUACUGCGGGUCUCGAGUCCGGGAGAGGUGAGUGGAAUUCCUAGUGUAGAGGUGAAAUUCGUAGAUAUCAGGAAGAACACCCGUGGCGAAGGCGGCUCUCUGGGACGGUACUGACGCUGAGACGCGAAAGCGUGGGGAGCGAACAGG